GAUGAACGCUGGCGGCGUGCCUAAUACAUGCAAGUCGAGCGAACAGACGAGGAGCUUGCUCCUCUGACGUUAGCGGCGGACGGGUGAGUAACACGUGGAUAACCUACCUAUAAGACUGGGAUAACUUCGGGAAACCGGAGCUAAUACCGGAUAAUAUAUUGAACCGCAUGGUUCAAUAGUGAAAGACGGUUUUGCUGUCACUUAUAGAUGGAUCCGCGCCGCAUUAGCUAGUUGGUAAGGUAACGGCUUACCAAGGCAACGAUGCGUAGCCGACCUGAGAGGGUGAUAGGGCACACUGGAACUGAGACACGGUCCAGACACCUACGGGAGGCAGCAGUAGGGAAUCUUCCGCAAUGGGCGAAAGCCUGACGGAGCAACGCCGCGUGAGUGAUGAAGGUCUUCGGAUCGUAAAACUCUGUUAUUAGGGAAGAACAAAUGUGUAAGUAACUAUGCACGUCUUGACGGUACCUAAUCAGAAAGCCACGGCUAACUACGUG
RNAcentral lists this ribosomal RNA (497 nucleotides) under uncultured bacterium. RNAcentral describes it as "partial 16S ribosomal RNA". It matches the Rfam family "Bacterial small subunit ribosomal RNA", at positions 28 to 507 of the family's 1533-position model. The record is from RNAcentral.